GCGCCGAAGAAGGACGUGGCAAGCUGCGAAAAGCUGCGGGGAGCUGCGAGCAAGCGUUGAACCGCAGAUAUCCGAAUGAGGGAACUCACAUGCUGGGAGAGCAUGUACGCAUACAUGAAUAAAUAGUGUAUGCGGGGGAACCCGGUGAACUGAAACAUCUAAGUAACCGGAGGAAAAGAAAGUAAGAACGAUCUUCUAAGUAGCGGCGAGCGAAAGGGAGGGAGCCCAAACCAUUGAUUUACGGAUUGAUGGGGUUACGGACAGUCAGGAAUACAGGACAUGAUAGCCGAAUGGUUUAGGGAAAGCCAGCCGAAGGAGGUAAAAGCCCUGUAGGCGAAAUCAUGGAGAGUAUGGACUGGAUCCAGAGUACCGCAGGACACGAGGAAUCCGGCGGGAAGUCGGGGGGACCACCCCCCAAGGCUAAAUACGACUUGGUGAGCGAUAGCGAAUAGUACCGUGAGGGAAAGGUGAAAAGCACCCCGGGAGGGGAGUGAAAGAGAACCUGAAACCCUAUGUUUACAAGCACAGGGAGCACGUUAAGGGUGCGACCUGGUACUUUUUGUAGAACGGACCGGCGAGUUACGUUAUUAUGCGAGGUUAAGGUAUAGAGUACCGGAGCCGAAGCGAAAGCGAGUCUGAAUAGGGCGGAGAAGUAUAAUGACGUAGACCCGAAACCGUGUGACCUAUCCAUGGACAGGUUGAAGUGGGAGUAAAAUCUCAUGGAGGACCGAACCACACUGCCGUUGAAAAGGUAGGGGAUGAGCUGUGGAUAGCGGGGAAAUUCCAAACGAACACGGAUAUAGCUGGUUCUCCUCGAAAUAGCUUUAGGGCUAGCCUCGCAGGAGAGUGACGGAGGUAGAGCACUGAAUGGGCUAGGGGGCCACAAAGCUUACCGAACCUUAUCAAACUGCGAAUGCCGUACACUUGCUCUGCGGGAGUCAGACUGUGUGAGAUAAGUCUCACGGUCAAAAGGGAAACAGCCCAGACCAACAGCUAAGGUCCCGAAGUACAGGUUAAGUGGAGAAGGAUGUGCCACUGCGCAGACAACCAGGAUGUUGGCUUAGAAGCAGCCAUACAUUAAAAGAGUGCGUAAUAGCUCACUGGUCGAGUGGUGGUGCGCCGAAGAUGGACGGGGCUCAAACCUGACACCGAAGCUUUGGAUUUAUGGAGACAUAAGUGGUAGAGGAGCGAUGUAUGCGGGAGGAAGGAUGACCGGAAGGACAUUUGGACUGCAUAGAAGAGAGAAUGCCGGUAUAAGUAGCGAGAGUGAGGUGAGAAUCCUCACCGUCGAAAGCCAAAGGAUUCCUGAGGAAGGUUCGUCCCCUCAGGGUAAGUCGGGACCUAAGCCGAGGGCGGUAGAGCCGUAGGCGAUGGACAACUGGUAGAUAUUCCAGUACCGUCUAAUACACGGAUGGAGGAAGCAGUGACACAGGAGGAUAGUCAGAGCGCGUUGAUGGUAGAGCGCGUCCAAGCAGAGAGGCUGGCGUUUAGUAAAGAACGGACGCUGAGAGCUGGUCUGUGACGGGGAGUGAACUAAGUAACGAAGCUGAUGAAUUCACACUGGCGAGAAAAGCUGCUAACGAGUGUAAGAGACGCCCGUACCGCAAACCGACACAGGUAGGCGAGGAGAGAAUCCUAAGACGAACGAGAGAACCCUUGUUAAGGAACUCGGCAAAAUUACCCCGUAACUUCGGGAGAAGGGGUGCCUGCUGAGAGGCAGGCCGCAGAGAAGAGGCCCAAGCGACUGUUUAACAAAAACACAGGUCUGUGCGAAAUCGAGAGAUGACGUAUACGGGCUGACGCCUGCCCGGUGCUGGAAGGUUAAGGGGAAGAGUUAGGUGCGAACCGAAGCUUAGAACCGAAGCCCCAGUAAACGGCGGCCGUAACUAUAACGGUCCUAAGGUAGCGAAAUUCCUUGUCGGGUAAG
This 1927-nucleotide ribosomal RNA is filed under the name human gut metagenome. RNAcentral's name for it is "bacterial LSU rRNA". It matches the Rfam family "Bacterial large subunit ribosomal RNA", at positions 43 to 1980 of the family's 2925-position model. The record is from RNAcentral.